RNAcentral lists this ribosomal RNA (211 nucleotides) under uncultured bacterium. RNAcentral describes it as "partial 16S ribosomal RNA". It matches the Rfam family "Bacterial small subunit ribosomal RNA", at positions 524 to 733 of the family's 1533-position model. The record is from RNAcentral.
UACGUAGGUGACCAGCGUUGUCCGGAUUUACUGGGCGUAAAGAGCGCGCAGGCGGUCGUUCAAGUCGAGUGUGAAAGCCCCCGGCUCAACUGGGGAGGGUCACUUGAUACUGAUCGACUCGAAGGCAGGAGAGGGAAGCGGAAUUCCCGGGUGUAGUGGUGAAAUGCGUAGAUAUCGGGAGGAACACCAGUGGCGAAGGCGGCUUCCUGGC